GUUUCCUCUCUUGGCCUUGGAGACCCUUUCCCUCUGUCUCCGUACAGGGAAGCUUCUUCCUUCUUUCUUUUUUCUUGCCUAUUAAACUCUCUGCUCCUUGAAACUACUCCACGUGUAUCUGUCAUUUUAUGCAAUUCAGCCUAAGACAAGAGCCCUGGUGUUCCUCCACUCAUUGAAGUCGUAUCAUUUCUUUUUCUUUUUCUUUCUUUCUUUCUUUUUUUUUUUUUUUUUUUUUUUGAGUCAGCGUCUUCGUCUUUCACUCAGGCUGGAGAGUAGUGGCACAAUCAUAUCACAGCUCACUGCAGACUCGACCUCCUGGGCUCAAGCAAUCCUCCCACCUCAGCUUCCCAAGUAGCUGGGACCACAGGCAUGCUCCAUCAUGCUUGGCUAAUUUUUGUAUAAUUUUAUUUUAUUUUUAUUUUUUUUUUUUUGGAGAGAUGAGGUUUCGCCAUGUUUCUCAGGCUGCACUCACACUCCUAUGCUCAAGCAAUCUGCCGGCUUCAGCCUCCCAAAGUGCUGGGAUUACAGGUCUGCACCACACACCUGGCCUUGGAUUUAUUUCUUUUAGUCCAAAUACUCCUUUAAUAUUUCUGCAGUCUUAUAAUUACAAUAUCUGAUCAGGAAGUGAGUCUCCUUUCAUUAAUGUUGUGUGAACUCUCUUUAAAUCAAUUAAUGUAAACAGUAUAUUUUCCAGGAGAGUAAAUUUUUCUUAAAUUGUAUACUUGAUUUUAGUUUCUGUUUCAAGUUUUGUAAUUUGAUUCUUUUUCAGAAAUACCUAUAGAGAAUCAAAUCUUUCUUUUUUCUCCCACAGAUACCAUCUUCUCUUUGAUAGCUUUCAUGUUUUGUACUUUUCAACUUUUUUUUCUAUAUUCUAGGAUGGUUUCUCAAAUUCUCUGAUGUGUUCAUUUUGUUUUGCUAUUUCGAAUAUGGAUUUAGUUUAGGUGCAUAUUUUAGCUCCUCUACAAUGUUUCUUUUUUUUUUUUACUCUACCAGUCUCUAAAAAUCUAUUUCCAUUUCUUUAAUAGGUCAUUUAAGGGAUCUGCAUUCCUUUAAGUGUGUUGUUGAUAUGGUAAUUGGGUCAUGGGGGUGGUUUCCCCACCCUGUUCUCAUGAUAAUGAGUGAGUCUCAGGAGAUCUGAUGGUUUUGUAAGUGUCUGGCAUUUCCCCUGCUUGCACUCAUUCCAUCCUGCCCCCUGUGAAGAAGGUGCCUUUUUCUCCUUUGCCUGCUGCCAGGAUUCUAAGUUUCCUGAGGCCCCACCCAGCAAUGCAGAACUCCAACUCUUCUCUCUCAAUUUCUUGACCUUGC
Molecule: long non-coding RNA, 1305 nt
Filed under: Homo sapiens (human)
Lineage: Eukaryota; Metazoa; Chordata; Mammalia; Primates; Hominidae
Description: HSALNT0321515
Source: RNAcentral